Molecule: ribosomal RNA, 543 nt
Filed under: Pseudoalteromonas sp.
Lineage: Bacteria; Pseudomonadati; Pseudomonadota; Gammaproteobacteria; Alteromonadales; Pseudoalteromonadaceae
Description: bacterial SSU rRNA
Rfam family: Bacterial small subunit ribosomal RNA
Source: RNAcentral
AAGCCUGAUGCAGCCAUGCCGCGUGUGUGAAGAAGGCCUUCGGGUUGUAAAGCACUUUCAGUCAGGAGGAAAGGUUAGUAGUUAAUACCUGCUAGCUGUGACGUUACUGACAGAAGAAGCACCGGCUAACUCCGUGCCAGCAGCCGCGGUAAUACGGAGGGUGCGAGCGUUAAUCGGAAUUACUGGGCGUAAAGCGUACGCAGGCGGUUUGUUAAGCGAGAUGUGAAAGCCCCGGGCUCAACCUGGGAACUGCAUUUCGAACUGGCAAACUAGAGUGUGAUAGAGGGUGGUAGAAUUUCAGGUGUAGCGGUGAAAUGCGUAGAGAUCUGAAGGAAUACCGAUGGCGAAGGCAGCCACCUGGGUCAACACUGACGCUCAUGUACGAAAGCGUGGGGAGCAAACGGGAUUAGAUACCCCGGUAGUCCACGCCGUAAACGAUGUCUACUAGAAGCUCGGAGCCUCGGUUCUGUUUUUCAAAGCUAACGCAUUAAGUAGACCGCCUGGGGAGUACGGCCGCAAGGUUAAAACUCAAAUGAAUUGACG